CAACCUGCCCCUGACUCUGGGAUAAGCGCUGGAAACGGUGUCUAAUACUGGAUAUGAGACGGAACCGCAUGGUUAUCGUUUGGAAAGAUUUUUCGGUUGGGGAUGGGCUCGCGGCCUAUCAGCUUGUUGGUGAGGUAAUGGCUCACCAAGGCGUCGACGGGUAGCCGGCCUGAGAGGGUGACCGGCCACACUGGGACUGAGACACGGCCCAGACUCCUACGGGAGGCAGCAGUGGGGAAUAUUGCACAAUGGGCGAAAGCCUGAUGCAGCAACGCCGCGUGAGGGAUGACGGCCUUCGGGUUGUAAACCUCUUUUAGUAGGGAAGAAGCGAAAGUGACGGUACCUGCAGAAAAAGCACCGGCUAACUACGUGCCAGCAGCCGCGGUAAUACGUAGGGUGCAAGCGUUAUCCGGAAUUAUUGGGCGUAAAGAGCUCGUAGGCGGUUUGUCGCGUCUGCUGUGAAAUUCCGAGGCUCAACCUCGGGCUUGCAGUGGGUACGGGCAGACUAGAGUGCGGUAGGGGAGAUUGGAAUUCCUGGUGUAGCGGUGGAAUGCGCAGAUAUCAGGAGGAACACCGAUGGCGAAGGCAGAUCUCUGGGCCGUACUGACGUGAGGAGCGAAAGGGGGAGAACAGCCUCUUUUUUGCUCUCUAAAUCUACUGAAAUCUGACCUCACAUCGUACU
Molecule: ribosomal RNA, 682 nt
Filed under: Microbacterium sp. VJ13-3
Lineage: Bacteria; Bacillati; Actinomycetota; Actinomycetes; Micrococcales; Microbacteriaceae
Description: bacterial SSU rRNA
Rfam family: Bacterial small subunit ribosomal RNA
Source: RNAcentral